GUCCAUGCCGUAAACGAUGAGGACUAGGUGUUAGCCCGCAAGGGUUAGUGCCGCAGCUCACGCAUUAAGUCCUCCACCUGGGGAGUACGGCCGCAAGGUUGAAACUCAAAGGAAUUGACGGGGGCCCGCACAAGCGGUGGAACAUGUGGUUCAAUUCGACGCUACGCGAAGAACCUCACCCAGGCUUGACAUGCUUAGAUGUAGUUUUCCUGAAAGGGAAGACGACCGUAUCCAAUCGGAGCUUUGCACAGGUGUUGCAUGGCUGUCGU
This 269-nucleotide ribosomal RNA is filed under the name uncultured bacterium. Its description in RNAcentral is "partial 16S ribosomal RNA". It matches the Rfam family "Bacterial small subunit ribosomal RNA", at positions 793 to 1055 of the family's 1533-position model. The record is from RNAcentral.